UACGUAGGGGACGAGCGUUGUCCGGAAUUACUGGGCGUAAAGGGCGCGCAGGCUGUAGAUCAAGUCAGCUGUGAAAUGUCUGGGCUUAACCCGGGCAUGCGGUUGAAACUGAUGUACUGGAGUGCUGUAGAGGCAAGUGGAAUUCCCAGUGUAGCGGUGAAAUGCGUAGAUAUUGGGAAGAACACCGGUGGCGAAGGCGACUUGCUGGGCAGCAACAGACGCUGAGGCGCGAAAGCCAGGGGAGCAAACGGGAUUAGA
This 258-nucleotide ribosomal RNA is filed under the name uncultured prokaryote. Its description in RNAcentral is "partial 16S ribosomal RNA". It matches the Rfam family "Bacterial small subunit ribosomal RNA", at positions 524 to 782 of the family's 1533-position model. The record is from RNAcentral.